This 548-nucleotide ribosomal RNA is filed under the name uncultured bacterium. Its description in RNAcentral is "bacterial SSU rRNA". It matches the Rfam family "Bacterial small subunit ribosomal RNA", at positions 355 to 896 of the family's 1533-position model. The record is from RNAcentral.
UGGGGAAUUUUGGAAAUGGGCGCAAGCCCCAUCCAGCCAUGCCGCGUGAGUGAAGAAGGCCUUCGGGUUGUAAAGCUCUUUCGGCGGGAACGAAAUAGCGCGGGCGAAUAUCCCGCGUCGAUGACGGUACCCGAAGAAGAAGGACCGGCUAACUACGUGCCAGCAGCCGCGGUAAUACGUAGGGUCCAAGCGUUAAUCGGAAUUACUGGGCGUAAAGCGUGCGUAGGUGGUUUGUUAAGUCAGGUGUGAAAUCCUCGGGCUCAACCCGGGAACUGCGCUUGAUACUGGCAGACUCGAGUGUGGUAGAGGAUAGUGGAAUUCCCGGUGUAGCGGUGAAAUGCGUAGAUAUCGGGAGGAACAUCAGUGGCGAAGGCGGCUAUCUGGACCAACACUGACACUGAGGUACGAAAGCGUGGGUAGCAAACAGGAUUAGAUACCCUGGUAGUCCACGCCCUAAACGAUGGGUACUAGACGUCGGGAAGCUUGUCUUCUUGGUGUCGCAGCUAACGCAAUAAGUACCCCGCCUGGGGAGUACGGUCGCAAGAUUA